This 274-nucleotide ribosomal RNA is filed under the name uncultured bacterium. RNAcentral's name for it is "partial 16S ribosomal RNA". It matches the Rfam family "Bacterial small subunit ribosomal RNA", at positions 523 to 796 of the family's 1533-position model. The record is from RNAcentral.
AUACGGAGGGGGUUAGCGUUGUUCGGAAUUACUGGGCGUAAAGCGCGCGCAGGCGGGCUGAUAAGUUGGAUGUGAAAGCCUACGGCUCAACCGUAGAACUGCAUCCAAAACUGUCAGUCUAGAGUGUGGGAGAGGAAGAUGGAAUUAGUUGUGUAGGGGUAAAAUCCGUAGAGAUAACUAGGAAUACCAAAAGCGAAGGCAAUCUUCUGGAACACUACUGACGCUGAGGCGCGAAGGCGUGGGGAGCAAACAGGAGUAGAAACCCCAGUAGUCC